RNAcentral lists this transfer RNA (70 nucleotides) under Calamus penna (sheepshead porgy). Its description in RNAcentral is "tRNA-Trp". It matches the Rfam family "tRNA". Rfam says of the family: Transfer RNA (tRNA) molecules are approximately 80 nucleotides in length. Their secondary structure includes four short double-helical elements and three loops (D, anti-codon, and T loops). Further hydrogen bonds mediate the characteristic L-shaped molecular structure. tRNAs have two regions of fundamental functional importance: the anti-codon, which is responsible for specific mRNA codon recognition, and the 3' end, to which the tRNAs corresponding amino acid is attached (by aminoacyl-tRNA synthetases). tRNAs cope with the degeneracy of the genetic code in two manners: having more than one tRNA (with a specific anti-codon) for a particular amino acid; and 'wobble' base-pairing, i.e. permitting non-standard base-pairing at the 3rd anti-codon position. The record is from RNAcentral. Lineage: Eukaryota; Metazoa; Chordata; Actinopteri; Spariformes; Sparidae.
AGAGACUUAGGUUAAUUUAGACCAAUAGCCUUCAAAGCCAUUAGUAGAAGUUAAAAUCUUCUAGUCCCUG